RNAcentral lists this ribosomal RNA (115 nucleotides) under Streptococcus danieliae. Its description in RNAcentral is "partial 16S ribosomal RNA". It matches the Rfam family "Bacterial small subunit ribosomal RNA", at positions 1 to 113 of the family's 1533-position model. The record is from RNAcentral. Lineage: Bacteria; Bacillati; Bacillota; Bacilli; Lactobacillales; Streptococcaceae.
UUGAUGAGAGUUUGAUCCUGGCUCAGGAUGAACGCUGGCGGCGUGCCUAAUACAUGCAAGUAGAACGCUGAAGAAAGAGCUUGCUCUUUUGGAAGAGUUGCGAACGGGUGAGUAA